GACGAACGCUGGCGGCGUGCUUAACACAUGCAAGUCGAACGGUGAAGUAGAGCUUGCUCUAUGGAUCAGUGGCGAACGGGUGAGUAACACGUGGGCAACCUGCCCCAGACUCUGGGAUAACUCUUCGAAAGAGGGGCUAAUACCGGAUAUUCGACGGAGUAGUCAUCUACUUCGCCGGAAAGAAUUUCGGUCUGGGAUGAGCUCGCGGCCUAUCAGCUUGUUGGUGAGGUAAAAGCUCACCAAGGCGACGACGGGUAGCCGGCCUGAGAGGGUGACCGGCCACACUGGUACUGAGACACGGACCAGACUCCUACGGGAGGCAGCAGUAGGGAAUAUUGGACAAUGGGCGCAAGCCUGAUCCAGCCAUGCCGCGUGCAGGAUGACGGUCCUAUGGAUUGUAAACUGCUUUUGUACAGGAAGAAACACUCCCUCGUGAGGGAGCUUGACGGUACUGUAAGAAUAAGGAUCGGCUAACUCCGUGCCAGCAG
This 488-nucleotide ribosomal RNA is filed under the name uncultured bacterium. RNAcentral's name for it is "bacterial SSU rRNA". It matches the Rfam family "Bacterial small subunit ribosomal RNA", at positions 28 to 514 of the family's 1533-position model. The record is from RNAcentral.